AUUACAAAAUUUUGGAUUUGCCUCGUUCGAGUUUGAUGCAAUUUUUUUCCCAAUUCUAAUUAUUAAUGUAGAUCAUAGAUUUGUGUAAAGUUUCCCAUCCCUAUGCUUGCCAUAUGAUAUACAUAGAAACACCAAAUGAUGAUUGUUUGGAUGUAACAAGUGUAAUCAAUUUUCGAUCAAGUCUCCAAACACCGUUGGAUUGGAGCUGCUAGUUAGAUCAAAUCGUAAUCUGAGAACUAAGACAGGGCCCAUUUCAGAGGCUAUCAAAUCUAGCCCACGAAAUACCUGAUAUUUUUGUUUUGGGGUCUUCUAGAUGCUUGUAAGCUGGAGAGAAUCAGUGGGAGUGGAGAACAAUUCGAGAAGCUCCAGAUAUUUCGUUUCGUUCCUAUAAAUAGAUUCCUCGAUACUCUCUGUUCUUUCAAGAGUGAGAAUCAAAUUCAAGAAAAACCAACAACCUUUGAAGAAAACAAAAUUCAACUGAAAAUGUCGAUGAUUCCGAGCUUCUUUGGAAACAACAGGCGUGGCAGCAGCAGCUUCUUCGAUCCGUUUUCUCUAGAUGUUUGGGACCCGUUCAAGGACUUUUCAUCAUCUUCUUCGUUUUCCCGAGAAAACUCUGCGAUCGUGAACGCGCGCGUGGACUGGAGGGAGACGCCGGAGGCGCACGUGUUCAAGGCGGACUUACCUGGACUGAAGAAGGAGGAAGUGAAGGUCGAGGUUGAGGACAACAACGUGUUGAAGAUCAGUGGUCAGAGGCACGUGGAGAAGGAGGACAAGAGCGACACGUGGCACCGCGUGGAGAGGUCGAGGGGACAGUUCACGAGGAAGUUUAGGCUGCCGGAGAACGUGAAGAUGGACCAGGUGAAGGCUGCGUUGGAGAACGGAGUCCUGACUGUGACGGUGCCUAAGGUAGAGACGGAGAAGGCUAGUGUCAGAUCUGUUCAGAUAUCUGGCUGAUUCAAGCAUUCUCUGACCAUGGUUCGAGUUUUUGUGUGUGUUGUGUGUUUCCUCUUCUGGUUUAACUGAGUGUGUCAUGUCCUGUCUGAGAGAUGAUGUAUCUAUACUAAAAUAUUGAAUAAAUAUUAUCUUAAAGCCUCCCAUAAGUUCGUAUUGAAAUUGUUUAAUUAAUUCUUCAGUUUACUAAUGUCUUUUUUGUUUUAAAUCGCACGGUAAUGAUUUAUGAAUUUCAUCACAAAACAAACACACGAGUUAUCCAUUUCUAGGUGUUUCCAUAAGUUCACUGGACAAUCUCAGUAAAAUUCCAAUUUGGCUGUAAUUGAGUAUUGCUGGUUCAUGUGUAUGAUGAAUGUGCCAGAUGAUGGAUUUGGCUGUAAUUGAGUUUUGCAAGCUUGGCCCAGUUUACAUAUUAUAGUUGUUUUGCUGUUGUUUGAGGAUAGCACAAGGGAGGAGAGAAAAUGAGAUUUGGAGGUGACUCAUCAAUGAGAGGCGGAGAGUUGCUGUGGAAGAGAUAACCAUGGUGAUUUUAUCUUAACUUUUUUGUAAAAAAAAGAAGUGAAAAGGCUUGAAUGAAAAUGUAUAAUUUCAUAUGUACUCAAUGAAGUUCUGGAAAAAAUAAAUGUUACUUUUUUCCAGAAAAAGAAAGAAAAUGAAUUAGAUCGUUAACAACUUGGAAUCAUAUCUAUUCUCAUACUAUAAUAGAUCGCGGAGAAUAUUAUUUUAUUGUAUCUAUCUUAUUAAACCAGAAGAACUUUAAAUUUUUGUUUGGCAAUAUAGAUAACAGUUAAAAAAAUAUAGCAUUGUUUGAAAACAUGAAUAUCAAUAUAUUAAAAAAAAAAUAAUAGAUUUAUGUUAUCAAGAAAAAUUGAAAAUUCAUUAUAUUAUGAAAACUAUAUAUAUGGGCUAGCUUUAAAAUAUACAAAAAUAACUGGUCCAAUCCAAUUACCUAAAAACAUCUUUGUCUAAGAUAAUCAUAAAACAAAAUUUAAAUUUUAUAUACAUAUUUCAAAUCAAAAUAUUAAUUUAAAAUUUAUUUAUACCAAAAAUUGAUUCAAAAUAUACAUAUAUUCAAAAAUUGAUUUUACUAAAAUAUUUUUAUAACCAUUAUAAAAAUGUUUUAAAUAUAUUUAAGAAAAAUACAAUACAAAGGAAUUACAAACACCAACGUAAAUUAUGAUUUUUAUAUUUUAUAUUAAGUUUUAAAAAUAUAAUAUAUAUGAGUAUUUAUAUGAUGGUGCGUAUAAAUACUAUUAAUUAUAUGAUUACUUAUAUGAUGGUAGGUAAAAAGCACGAUUAAUUAUAUGAUGACACAUAUAUGAUAUUUAAUAGUGGCAUGAAAAAAUAAAUAACAACAUAUUUUUGCAAUAUUAUAUCUUCUAUCUUGUUAAAAUAGAAGUACAUUUGGGAAUGUUUGGAAACAAGAAUAACAUAAUUAAAAAGAAAUAUAAUGUUGUUUGAAAAUAUAGAUAGCAGUAUAUUAAAAAAAAGCUUAUGUUAUUAAAAAAAUUGAAGUCCAUUAUAUUUUUAUAAAUUAUCUCUUUGGACAAGAUUUAAAAUUGAAAAAUUGAAAAUUCAUUAUAUUAUGAAAACUAUAUAUAUGGGCUAGCUUUAAAAUAUACAAAAAUAACUGGUCCAAUCCAAUUACCUAAAAACAUCUUUGUCUAAGAUAAUCAUAAAACAAAAUUUAAAUUUUAUAUACAUAUUUCAAAUCAAAAUAUUAAUUUAAAAUUUAUUUAUACCAAAAAUUGAUUCAAAAUAUACAUAUAUUCAAAAAUUGAUUUUACUAAAAUAUUUUUAUAACCAUUAUAAAAAUGUUUUAAAUAUAUUUAAGAAAAAUACAAUACAAAGGAAUUACAAACACCAACGUAAAUUAUGAUUUUUAUAUUUUAUAUUAAGUUUUAAAAAUAUAAUAUAUAUGAGUAUUUAUAUGAUGGUGCGUAUAAAUACUAUUAAUUAUAUGAUUACUUAUAUGAUGGUAGGUAAAAAGCACGAUUAAUUAUAUGAUGACACAUAUAUGAUAUUUAAUAGUGGCAUGAAAAAAUAAAUAACAACAUAUUUUUGCAAUAUUAUAUCUUCUAUCUUGUUAAAAUAGAAGUACAUUUGGGAAUGUUUGGAAACAAGAAUAACAUAAUUAAAAAGAAAUAUAAUGUUGUUUGAAAAUAUAGAUAGCAGUAUAUUAAAAAAAAGCUUAUGUUAUUAAAAAAAUUGAAGUCCAUUAUAUUUUUAUAAAUUAUCUCUUUGGACAAGAUUUAAAAUUUACGAAAAUGACUCAAUCUAAUUACUUUUUUGUGCAACUGGUCCAAUCUAAUUAACUAAAAACAUAUUUUGUAUAAAUUAAUCAUUAAACAAAAUUCAAAACAAAAAUUGAUUCAAAAAUAUACAUGUAUUCAAAAAUUGAUUUUUACUAAUGUAUUUUUCAAUAACCAUUAUAAAAUUGUUUUCAAUAUAUAUAAAAAAUACAAUACAAAUGAACUAAUAGAUUGAGUAAACUUUCUUUCUAAUUUUUUUAUGGACCACCGAAAUAAAAUUAGAUAUACAAUACUAGAAAUAGCUAUAAUAUUUGGGUUAGAAUAUCAAAUAAACAAUAAAACAAAAAAAUUAAUAUAUGAAUGUAUUAGUAUUCCUUUAUUUGUAUUACAAAUACAAUAAUAGUCAAACAAUAAUAUAUAACGGGACCAUAAUUUUUAAAAUCGAACAAUUACCAAUUAAUUAUGAAUGUAUAAUGUUAUUACAAAUUAAAGUAAGCAUCCGUGCGGACACACAUGGCAGUUGUGUUUUGUUAUUGAAUAUGAGAGUACAACACAACACCAAACACCAACACCAAAUUUGUCUGAUUAUUUUAACAAAAAGAGCAGUGAUGUUAGCAAUGACGUGAUUACCUUAUAAAAUAAUGGGAAAAAUAAUUCCUUUCUGGUUUGCUGUCCAGGAUAACUUAUUUUUUCUAUCUAGUUUGUUGUCCAAGGUAUCUUUCAUUUAUUUAUAUAGAGAACAUUAGUGAACGAAACAUAAAACUGAAAGAAAAAUAAACAGGAGUAGAACCAGAGGGAUCGAAGAAUGGCAGAGAAUGAGGGAAAAGUAAAGCUUCUAGGGUGUUGGGCAAGCCCUUUCAGUCGUAGGGUCGAGAUGGCUCUCAAACUCAAAGGCAUACCGUACGAAUACUUGGAGGAAGCCUUGCCCAACAAGAGCCCUUUGCUUCUUGAGCUUAACCCGAUUCACAAGAAGGUUCCGGUUCUUGUACACAACGAUAAAAUAUUACCCGAGUCACAUCUAAUCCUCGAGUACAUCGACCAAACAUGGAGUAACAAUCCAAUUCUACCUCAAGAUCCCUACGAGAAAGCCAUGGCUCGAUUCUGGGCCAAAUUCAUCGACGAGCAGGUAUAUCCAACAAAACAUGCUAAUUAUAAAUAUUUCUUUUUUUUUUUGGAUCAAAGCUAAUUCAUAAAUCUUUUUUCUUAUAUAUUGAUCUUGCAGAUUCUUACUGUAGGAUUCAGGUCUCUAGUAAGAGCAGAGAAGGGGAGAGAGGCUGCUAUUGAAGAGGCUCGAGAAAAGUUUGCGUUUCUUGAGAAGGAAGUCACUAGAAAAAUCAGUAUAUCUCUCUACACAGGUAACCAAAAUAUUUCAGUUCGAGUUUGAAUGUUUGACAUUUUGUGUUUUGACUUUUGUGGUUUUUCAAUUACAAAAUUUUGGAUUUGCCUCGUUCGAGUUUGAUGCAAUUUUUUUCCCAAUUCUAAUUAUUAAUGUAGAUCAUAGAUUUGUGUAAAGUUUCCCAUCCCUAUGCUUGCCAUAUGAUAUACAUAGAAACACCAAAUGAUGAUUGUUUGGAUGUAACAAGUGUAAUCAAUUUUCGAUCAAGUCUCCAAACACCGUUGGAUUGGAGCUGCUAGUUAGAUCAAAUCGUAAUCUGAGAACUAAGACAGGGCCCAUUUCAGAGGCUAUCAAAUCUAGCCCACGAAAUACCUGAUAUUUUUGUUUUGGGGUCUUCUAGAUGCUUGUAAGCUGGAGAGAAUCAGUGGGAGUGGAGAACAAUUCGAGAAGCUCCAGAUAUUUCGUUUCGUUCCUAUAAAUAGAUUCCUCGAUACUCUCUGUUCUUUCAAGAGUGAGAAUCAAAUUCAAGAAAAACCAACAACCUUUGAAGAAAACAAAAUUCAACUGAAAAUGUCGAUGAUUCCGAGCUUCUUUGGAAACAACAGGCGUGGCAGCAGCAGCUUCUUCGAUCCGUUUUCUCUAGAUGUUUGGGACCCGUUCAAGGACUUUUCAUCAUCUUCUUCGUUUUCCC
Molecule: long non-coding RNA, 5230 nt
Filed under: Brassica napus (rape)
Lineage: Eukaryota; Viridiplantae; Streptophyta; Magnoliopsida; Brassicales; Brassicaceae
Description: long non-coding RNA (BNAP_LNC015407)
Source: RNAcentral